This 407-nucleotide ribosomal RNA is filed under the name uncultured bacterium. RNAcentral's name for it is "bacterial SSU rRNA". It matches the Rfam family "Bacterial small subunit ribosomal RNA", at positions 354 to 776 of the family's 1533-position model. The record is from RNAcentral.
GUGGGGAAUAUUGCACAAUGGGGGGAACCCUGAUGCAGCGACGCCGCGUGAGUGAAGAAGUAUUUCGGUACGUAAAGCUCUAUCAGCAGGGAAGAAAAAAGGACGGUACCUGAGUAAGAAGCCCCGGCUAACUACGUGCCAGCAGCCGCGGUAAUACGUAGGGGGCAAGCGUUAUCCGGAAUUACUGGGUGUAAAGGGAGCGUAGACGGCAAUGCAAGUCCGGAGUGGAAUGCGGCAGCUCAACUGCCGAACUGCUCUGGAAACUGUAUGGCUUGAGUGCAGGAGGGGUAAGCGGAAUUCCUGGUGUAGCGGUGAAAUGCGUAGAUAUCAGGAGGAACACCGGUGGCGAAGGCGGCUUACUGGACUGUAACUGACGUUGAGGCUCGAAAGCGUGGGGAGCAAACAGG